GUGCUCCUCGAUGGCGAACACCGCGUCGAGCCGUGCGGUCUGCUUCCCAAGCAGAUGGCGCGGGUUCGAUUCCCGUCAGUCCCUCCA
Molecule: transfer RNA, 87 nt
Filed under: Pseudoclavibacter chungangensis
Lineage: Bacteria; Bacillati; Actinomycetota; Actinomycetes; Micrococcales; Microbacteriaceae
Description: tRNA-Gly
Source: RNAcentral